CAAGUCGAACGACUAAGUCCGGCAAAGGGAUGAGUAAAGUGGCGUCCGGGUGAGUAACACGUACUAACCUACCUUCGAGUGGGGAAUAACCUCGGGAAUCCGGGGCUAAUACCGCAUAACAUCGUCGGGUGAAAUUCCUGCCGAUCAACGGAGCAAUCCGCUUGAAGAGGGGGUCACGGCUGAUUAGCUAGUUGGUGAGGUAGCGGCUCACCAAGGCGAUGAACAAGUAGCCGGCAUGAGAGGGCGCACGGCCACACUGGAACUGAAACACGGUCCAGACUCCUACGGGAGGCAGCAGUGGGGAAUUUUGCGCAAUGGGGGAAACCCUGACGCAGCAACGCCGCGUGGAGGAUGAAGUCCCUUGGGACGUAACACCAGUCGACCGGGACGAAUAAUGAC
Molecule: ribosomal RNA, 399 nt
Filed under: uncultured bacterium
Lineage: Bacteria
Description: bacterial SSU rRNA
Rfam family: Bacterial small subunit ribosomal RNA
Source: RNAcentral